This 510-nucleotide small RNA is filed under the name Aspergillus chevalieri. RNAcentral describes it as "eukaryotic LSU rRNA". The stretch from base 153 to 306 matches the Rfam family "5.8S ribosomal RNA". The record is from RNAcentral. Lineage: Eukaryota; Fungi; Ascomycota; Eurotiomycetes; Eurotiales; Aspergillaceae.
CGAUCAUUACCGAGUGCGGGCCCUCUGGGUCCAACCUCCCAUCCGUGUCUAUCUGUACCCUGUUGCUUCGCCGUGGCCACGGCCCGCCGGAGACUAACAUUUGAACGCUGUCUGAAGUUUGCAGUCUGAGUUUUUAGUUACACAAUCGUUAAAACUUUCAACAACGGAUCUCUUGGUUCCGGCAUCGAUGAAGAACGCAGCGAAAUGAGAUAAUUAAUGUGAAUUGCAGAAUUCAGUGAAUCAUCGAGUCUUUGAACGCACAUUGCGCCCCCUGGUAUUCCGGGGGGCAUGCCUGUCCGAGCGUCAUUGCUGCCCUCAAGCACGGCUUGUGUGUUGGGCUUCCGUCCCUGGCAACGGGGACGGGCCCAAAAGGCAGUGGCGGCACCAUGUCUGGUCCUCGAGCGUAUGGGGCUUUGUCACACGCUCCCGUAGGUCCAGCUGGCAGCUAGCCUCGCAACCAAUCUUUUUAACCAGGUUGACCUCGGAUCCGGUAGGGAUACCCGCUGAACU